AGUGAACGCUGGCGGUAGGCCUAACACAUGCAAGUCGAACGGCAGCACAGUAAGAGCUUGCUCUUACGGGUGGCGAGUGGCGGACGGGUGAGGAAUACAUCGGAAUCUACUUUUUCGUGGGGGAUAACGUAGGGAAACUUACGCUAAUACCGCAUACGACCUACGGGUGAAAGCAGGGGAUCUUCGGACCUUGCGCGAUUGAAUGAGCCGAUGUCGGAUUAGCUAGUUGGCGGGGUAAAGGCCCACCAAGGCGACGAUCCGUAGCUGGUCUGAGAGGAUGAUCAGCCACACUGGAACUGAGACACGGUCCAGACUCCUACGGGAGGCAGCAGUGGGGAAUAUUGGACAAUGGGCGCAAGCCUGAUCCAGCCAUACCGCGUGGGUGAAGAAGGCCUUCGGGUUGUAAAACCCUUUUGUUGGGAAAGAAAAGCAGCAGGUUAAUACCCCGCUGUUCUGACGGUACCAAAAGAAUAAGCACCGGCUAACUUCGUG
RNAcentral lists this ribosomal RNA (492 nucleotides) under uncultured bacterium. Its description in RNAcentral is "partial 16S ribosomal RNA". It matches the Rfam family "Bacterial small subunit ribosomal RNA", at positions 29 to 507 of the family's 1533-position model. The record is from RNAcentral.